This 88-nucleotide transfer RNA is filed under the name Paracoccaceae bacterium. RNAcentral's name for it is "Rhodobacteraceae bacterium tRNA-Ser". It matches the Rfam family "tRNA". From Rfam's summary of the family: Transfer RNA (tRNA) molecules are approximately 80 nucleotides in length. Their secondary structure includes four short double-helical elements and three loops (D, anti-codon, and T loops). Further hydrogen bonds mediate the characteristic L-shaped molecular structure. tRNAs have two regions of fundamental functional importance: the anti-codon, which is responsible for specific mRNA codon recognition, and the 3' end, to which the tRNAs corresponding amino acid is attached (by aminoacyl-tRNA synthetases). tRNAs cope with the degeneracy of the genetic code in two manners: having more than one tRNA (with a specific anti-codon) for a particular amino acid; and 'wobble' base-pairing, i.e. permitting non-standard base-pairing at the 3rd anti-codon position. The record is from RNAcentral. Lineage: Bacteria; Pseudomonadati; Pseudomonadota; Alphaproteobacteria; Rhodobacterales; Paracoccaceae.
GGAGAGGUGCCGGAGUGGUCGAACGGGGCGGUCUCGAAAACCGUUGUACCUCAGGGUACCCAGGGUUCGAAUCCCUGUCUCUCCGCCA